RNA transcript from Cuculus canorus (common cuckoo), 7597 nucleotides. It is a transcript of the gene named phosphatidylinositol glycan anchor biosynthesis class F, with no coding region annotated. The transcript is spliced from 8 exons. NCBI's taxonomy places the organism in Eukaryota, Metazoa, Chordata, Aves, Cuculiformes, Cuculidae. The record is from RefSeq and is a predicted model, not a curated record.
UCUUUCCCUCCCGGAGCGUUGGCGGCGCUGCCUGAACGGAGCCCGGGGGGAGAGGAGGGGGAGCGGCGAGGGGCAUCCCGGCCGCGGGAGGGGCUGAGGCGGCGCUGCCUGCGAGCACGGGGCGAAGUCGUCGUCCCGUCCUGCCCCCCCCCCCCCCGCCGGGGACCCCGCGGGGCGGCGCUGCUUUGCUUGUUGGGUUGGAGUUGGCUUUGUAAACGAAUGGCGUUUCCUCUCGCGAGUGACGGGCGGUAGGAUGAGAGGGAAUGGCCUCGAGCUGCGCCAGGGGAGGUUCAGGUUAAUGGGGAACACAAUGAGAGAAGCAGAAAUAAGGAAGCUCUUUGCUGUCAACCUCCUAUGUGUUUUUUCAAUUAUUCUGACAGCAGUUGUUCCAACUGUCUUCUGGGACGGAUUCACAGUUGUGGGAACACACCUCACGUGGCUGCGUAUUUGUUCUGUUUCUGUUAGUGCCGUUAGUAUAGUCUUGCACUUAAUCCUUAAGCCAAAUUUGUCUCCUAAGAGAAGUUCAUUUGCUCACAAGAUAUCCAGAUUUCUAAAAUGCUGUAUAUACUUUUUCAUGUCUUGCGUACUAUUUCAUGUGAUUAUUGUUCUUUAUGGAGCACCUCUCAUAGAGUCAGUGACCGAGACAUUUUUGUUUGCAGUUCUGUUGUCUACUUUUACUACUUUACAAUGCUUGUGUAUGCUGGGACCAAACUUACAAGCAUGGAUCCGGGUCUUUAGUAAAAAUGGAGCAAUGUCCAUCUGGGAAAGCAGUCUACAGAUUACCACCAUGUGUGGUAUACUUGGAGCUUGGUUUGGAGCAUUUCCUAUUCCUCUUGACUGGGAUCGGCCUUGGCAGGUAUGGCCCGUUUCCUGUUCCCUUGGAGCUACCUUUGGCUAUAUGGCUGGUCUGAUUAUUGCACCUCUGUGGAUACACUGGAACCGGAAGCAGCUUACUUACAAAAGCAGAUAACUGGAGCAAAAAGAGACAAGGCUUCUUGGGGAUACAGUGUGCAUUGCUAAGGAAAGCAGAAUUGUCCUGUUGUGGCUUAGGUUUCCCAGGGAGUGCAAAAGCUGCCAAUUUGGGCCAAGCAUCUAUUUUUAAUUUAUAGAAAAGGCUGCAAGAAUGCAGGGACUUCCACUUUCCACGGAAAGGGAACUGACCCCAGUUUUGGUGACUGCAGCCAAGAACAAUUGGGAUUUUCCAUUCUUUCAAACAUGGGCAAUCAAAGGAAAUUCACUCCGGCACAGAAGAUCUAGUUAGCUCCUCUGCAGAACCUGCUCUUUGGAAAGAUGGGUUCCUUCACUUUAUUUUUACAGAAGAAUAUGGUCAUUAAUAAAUCUCUUCUCAUAGGGAAAACAGACUAUGGAAUAGAGGUGGUUUAAUAUUGUUAUGCAUAUCAUAUCAGACAUGCCUUUUCCUUUACUAAUAAUAUAAAUCUUGCCCAGAUCAGAAAAAAGUGAUCAGUUAAGUGUCCUGUUCCCUUCCACUUUUUAUAAAUAAAACCCCAAAAGCAUGUUUUCCAGUUCAGUGUUGAGCAACAGCUCUUAGAAGACUAAGCCUUUGCACUACUCCUCAAGAUUAACUCCCAUCACACAACUUCUCAGAAGAUGAAGUGCCAGAGUACCAGUGCUAUCAUGUGCACACUGAAUAAAUACAGUGAAAAAGUGUCUGGAAUUAAAGGAGUUCCUAACAGUCUUUUGCACCUCAUUUUAUGUCAAGUCCUAACUUGUCAGGGCUAACAGCUUCCAUUGAAGAAUGUGGUAAAACGCGCAACAAUUUCACUGCAACAGAUGUUAUGGCAGUUGAAAAGCUGCCUAGGGUUUCUCCUUCUUAAGUGAGGAAUAUGUCAGCCAUCUCACUGCCCAUGGGCUAUCUGUUGGUCGCAACUAAAGAUCCAGCCCACGUCAUGCCUGGCAUCCAUCCCUCAUUGACACUGCCACUGCAUCUAUCUCUAAUUGGAAAUUAAACCAAUAAGGAACUUACAUUAAGUCCUACAGAUGAUUUUUUAGCAUUCACAGCUUCAUCUAAUUUAGAGCAAAAGCUGCCUGAGGCACUUUCAGUCUGUGUUUUAUUAAUCUGAAGAAAUAAAUUCACUUAGGAUGCUGAUACGUGUUCCUUUGCUCUGGAGAAUAAUGCUGCCACCUGCAUUUUAUACACACACCAGAGAGUGCUGACCGUCGCAAAGAAUUAUUACACAUGUGCCACAACAUGGAUGCAGCUCAGAGCACAAUGAAAACAGCCACUAAUGCAUCAAAUGGCACAACCUCAUCAGAACUGCUGGAAGUGUCACAUAGCAUUCAGACACAUUUUUCUUAGCACAAAUCAUCCAGUCACCAGUCCAAACCAGAAGACUGCAUUUAAAACCACAGAACAGAGUGACAGAAAGAUACAAUUCGCCUCCUCUCUGCCCUCAUUUUGCAUUUUUUCUAAUUAGAGGAGGGACGGUUUUGUUAGAAAUGUAACUACUCAUUUGAAGAUUUUUUAAAAAAGUCCUAAAGCUCUGUUCCAAAGCAUCUGUUUUAGUAAAGUUGGUUUUUAUAAUUCCCAAUAAAAUUGCAGGAUUUGGAAACAAGUGUGCUUUAUAUUAUUUUGUAAAGCCCAGAUUCUUAAGAGCCUCAUGAUGACAUAAAGAAAAAUCACAUCCUAUUCACCUUUAAAUGAAAGAUAAAUUUCUGAUCCCCCAGAGAUACAGAGAAAACUUGAAUACAUGAAGCCCAAAGGCUUAACGAAAUCCCUCAUCCAGCAAAGGGCAAAAGAAAGUCUCAAACCAUUCUGAUUUCCUAGGUUUUUUAGGUAGUAGUGUCUGCAGAAAAGAAUAGCUGACUCACCAUUUUGAAUGCCUGGGACUGACAAAACCUCAAUAUUGCUGAAGUAAGUGGUACAUCUACUUUAUCCAUGUGUUCUCAGUAAAGGAACUGGAACAAAGCUUACUGAAAUCAGCAAUAGGGUGCUGGCUAAUACAGAGCUUUAGGACACACAUUAUAAGACCUUUUGUGCUGUAGGUCUGCGCUAUGGAGGCAGUACUCAGUUCUAAAUUGUCUUUAGUUUGUUUUAAGAUGUAGUUUGGAGGAGGAAUCAAAAGUUAGGCUAUGAAUGAAAAAUAGUGCAUUUUUUUAUACUUUUCCAAAAUAUAAAAAGUUCUUUGCAAAGGUAACAGAUUUCAGACAAGAAGUCCGACUAUGGACCUGCCAAAAAUUCCUAGGCUCUCCUGUGUUCUUAGAAAAAUUCUGCCAGCUUGUGCCAUUCCAUCACUCUUGCCUCCUGCAGUACAGCUGUAGAUUAUGUGACACGCAACUGAGUGCAGGUGCACACACCAUCCUAAACUGAAGUCAGGACAUAAGAGGGUAUGCAAUCAUAUUGUGCUAGAAGAGCAACAAUUAUAGCUUGUAUUCGGUGUUGCCUUUUUAGCUGAUGGUGGUUGGAUAGCAGCAAAAGUUGCCACUGUAUCUCAAGGAAAAUAAAUGAGUAAAAUUCAGAGAGAGAGCUCUGUCACAAACUAAAGAAUAUCUACUGAUUCUUAAUCCAAGAAAAAGAGAUUUUUACUUGACCAAACAAUGUUUAGCAAGCAUCUCUCUGGGUCAGUACUCUUCAUGCGUUUUUAGCAUAUCAAAAACUGAAGUUUCAGAGAACCUCUCAAACUUGGUUUGCUUUGGGUUUUUUACUUUGGUUGGCCACUAGCAUACUGUUAAUUUGGGGAAGACAUUCUGGAUCUACAUUUUCAAAUACAUCCCUUGCAUUUGAUUUUAACACAACUCUGUGCUGCUAUUCAGAAGUGCCGUGGGGCUUUUGACACUCUGAAAAUGAAAUAUAACUGUCUUGAGUUUCCCAUAUAUAUUUAGUGGAUGCUUUUGGGAACUCAGAGCAGCAUUUCCCAUCUGGCAAUAACAAUACUUACCUAUCUUUCUAGGAAAGAUACAACACUUUCAAAGUGCAAGUCACAGGUCACAAUGAAGUGUCUGAAUGUAAGCUUUGCACUGCUAUUAUUCUUGUUGGAGGGCCAUUUUUAAAAGCUGAACUGAAUGUAAAAGUCCCUUUCCUUUUAAAGGGAAAGCCUGUUUUUGCUUGAACACUUGUUUAGAGAACUCUUGACACAGAUUGUUAACUCGGGCACUUCACUUCCUUCUUUUGCCUUGAAAAUCUUGUAUUUCAGAGAGGGAAUCUAGGCAUAAUUUUAUUUUAUCUGCAUACAUCCGAUUGUUGCUGCAGAGCCAUUAAACCUACGUGGCUGGCAACAUCCCUGAGCAUGGAGUGUCUUCAGCAGAGGCUGAGCUAUUCAUAGGCCAGCAUGCUGGCCAGCCAGGAGUGAGCUCAUGAGCUCACAGCCUCCCAGCGCCAGCUGCCAGCUCGGCUGGAACAACAUAAAGAGAGGGAGAGAAAAUGCAAGUAGGAAGACUGAGGCGCAGGGGGGAAUGGAAAGGGGACAGGAUGUUAAUUGCUGACAUUUCAUUUUUAGAUCUGCUAAAAUAACACCAUAGGUUUUGGUGUUUACAACUCUACAGUAAAAGGUGGCACACUUUGCAUGGUGUAAGACUGUGUUUGCAUGUUCCAGGCUUGCAUUUGGCACUAUGGCCAUGUGGGAGAUGCAACUCGGAAGGAGUGAUAUGGUCUGAGGAGGGACACUUCUGUUUCCCAAUGGACCAGACAAAAUGAUCAGCAAUUCCCUCUCCUUUCAGUAGGAUACAGAAGUGAUAGCUACUAGACCAGGGCUAUAUACGAAAUCCCAGAGAAAGACUCAGCAGGGAGUACAAAGAUCACUGAUAUUUCUUGUGUUAUUUAUAGCAACCACCACAAGUUUGGUGACAAUCCAUUUUAAUCACCACACCUCCACCCCUCUUUCCCACAGGCACACUCACGGUUAGAACCGUUAGGUUUUACACCUUGCCGUAACGCAGGCACUGAUCUUGCUAAUAUCUAAGUUAGUUUUAAACACUUAAGCAGCCUGACCAACUUUAAUAUAAACUGCUUUUAACAUCAGUGGCUCCGUUCAAAAAAUCCGUGUACCUAAAUGAAGGUGGCUGCACCUGCAACCAGAGUAUCCAGCAGUAUCUGAGCUGAGAGGAACCAAGAACUUCUUCUACUCUUGUGCUGAGCACAUUUUGUGGCUACUCUUUUGGUGACAGUUAAGAAGGCACCAAGAGCUUUACUGUAUCAGACCUACAGCUUGUCCUAUGCGCAUUAGGGCCAUUAAGGCAGAGAAAUAGAAGUGGAAAGCAAAGGAACAGAGUUUACCUCGGCUUUGUCCAACCAGGCCACACGAGUAUCACAACAGUAAGUGAUGCUGAGGGAUAUAAAUAUUAUUAGGCACUGCACCUUAGUAAGAUUCACCCUGCUUCUUCUGUACUGGCUCUGCACUACCCAGAUGCUGGCUUGGUGCCAAACAUGCACCAGACAACUACUCCGUGCCUCAGCGUCUCUUCCCAGGGCAGCAGACUCUGCUCCUGCAUCCCCCCAAUCCUUCCUCUAAGUCCUGACAGUCCUUUACAGCCAAGACACACAAGCAGAGCAAGGCUUCCAUCUGUAUAUGGUCAGCCCAUACUGGAGGGAAGGGACCAAACUAUGAGUGAAAACCCCACAGCAAAAGGGAUGAAGAGGGGGAUGAACGCUGAUGGAGCGAAAUCCCUGAGUGGUCACUUCUGUGUGUCCCCUCACUUAUCCUGGUCAUUUGGAAUGUGGGAGGGGGACACAGAGUGCACCUCUUCAUUAGUGUUUACAGACAGUUCUCCAACAGCUUAAGUAUCAGGAAAGCUGGCAGGAUUGCUUUUGGUACUAUAGAAGAUCAAAAUUAUAAUCACUCAUCACUAGUUCAAAAGCACUCUAACACAGUGAAGUUAACGGUUCCCUGAUGAAGCCAUGGUUCUCUCCCAGGAUGAUUUUGCCACAAGCCUCUGCUCAGUGAAGAGCAGUACUGACACACAGUUAGUCUCCCAGAGCAAGAGAGCCAACUGCAAAGCCAAAGGCAUCCAAUGUCAAUAUGACAAGCAGAUCACGUUUAAACUUCAGUGCAUUGUUGCUCCCAGCUCCAGGCAACAUAGGUAAGUGCCUGGGAAACCAGGACCCACUCCAAACCUACCCCGUCUCAGCACAUGGCUAUGUGCAACAACAAGGCUAAAAGGAGCUGCCGGCUCCACCUCUGGGAGGAAUUGCUGAAGGAAUGUCCUCUCGGACACCACUGGCCCUGAAUUCCCACCCGCGUCCCUGGCAAGGGAGCCUGCCUCCACAGCUGCAAACCCAAAGGGGCUCCAAGAGCCUCCACUGCCCAGCAGCUGUACUGGCUAUUUUCUGCUGAACCAGGGCCUCAGUAUUUUCAGCCAGGGAAAAGCCUGCCUGAACUCUCUCUCACACACACACAAAGGGGAAGAAGGCCUCUCAUCCUGCAGACUGAAGUUUGUGAACUGCUAGUGUCAUUUUCCCCUGCUAUAUAUAACCUAGAAAAAAAAGAGAUUUUAAUAUAUUUAUUCUCAACCUACUUUAGACUUGCAAAGGUAUGAGGCAUUAUGUCAUUGGUGUAGUUACUACACAUGAUCUUGUGUGUGUUGUGAAGAGGCGAGCUAGAAAUGAGUAAUGGAUGCCAUGAACUCAGAAGCUUGCAACUCCUCUGCCAAAGAGAAGUCUGUCACAAGCUGCUGAAUACAUAACCACGCAAGUUAGAGACCCACAGGCUGGUGAGUCACUAUUUCAGGCCGAUGAGCCUGCUGUGCACCAGCUAGAAACCAAAAAGUUUUUAAUUACUGCUCCGUUACAGGCUUUCUGCAUGGAUUUGGUAGGUCACUGUCUGAACCUCCAUUUACCCCUUUGCUCUUCUUCCCCACACCACGAAAUAAGGUCUGUAGAUGGUACCCAUGUGCUCUGCCCAGAGCCAGGAGUAUAAACAUGCUGAAGAUUGUGAACUGCUUAGAUACCACAGUGAUCACACACUGCCAAGUUUUGAUAAAAUGAUGCUAUCAGGCCAGUAUUCUACUAUACAUAACUAUUUGAGGGUGACAGAACUAGAAGUAAAAGCAUUGGUGCGUGCUGGCACAGAAAUCCUGACUUUGAGCAGCAAAGAAUCCAAGCUGUACGGAAGUCUGAGCAAGCAGCAGGCAUGUACCACACUGCAGCAUGCUGUUUCCUCAACACAAAGAAGGCACCAUUAACUCAUGUCUUUUUUGCUCUUUACUGUAGAUAUUUAACCUUUAAAGUAAGCUUUCUGUUACUGCAUAGCUCUGGGAAGAUGAGCUUGUCAGCACACUCUCUGAGGAAGCUGCUAAAAGAAUGAAAUUGCUGGACUGGCAUCUUCACAGACUCCCCAUGAGCAUCUCCUUAGUUGUGGUGGAUGCUGGGAUGGGCCCCUAUGGGCAGUUCCAGAUGUGCACCAGUUCUCCAAAUAUGCUGAAGAGCAAUGGAGAUAACAGUAAAGAUUUUAUAAGCAUUGCAGGUCUGACUGAAAUUGGCGGAAUUCCCAAGAAUAGAUACAUUUGUAAAGGUAGCCUCAUUAAAACACGCUAUGUGAGCUAAGGCUCUUCUGAAUCAGGCCAGCAAGAUCCGGUUCUGGAUAGAUCAGAAACUGCUCUGGAAUUUAAGCUUAAGUUUUCAGCUUCUCAAGAGUUUGAAGGGGGG